RNAcentral lists this ribosomal RNA (480 nucleotides) under uncultured bacterium. RNAcentral describes it as "bacterial SSU rRNA". It matches the Rfam family "Bacterial small subunit ribosomal RNA", at positions 28 to 507 of the family's 1533-position model. The record is from RNAcentral.
GAUGAACGCUAGCUACAGGCUUAACACAUGCAAGUCGAGGGGUAGCAGGGUAGCAAUACCGCUGACGACCGGCGCACGGGUGAGUAACACGUAUCCAACCUUCCCAUAACUCGGGGAUAGCCUUUCGAAAGAAAGAUUAAUACCCGAUGGUACUUAUAUAAGGCAUCUUAAAUAAGUUAAAGAUUUAUUGGUUAUGGAUGGGGAUGCGUUCCAUUAGAUAGUUGGUGAGGUAACGGCUCACCAAGUCUUCGAUGGAUAGGGGUUCUGAGAGGAAGGUCCCCACAUUGGUACUGAGACACGGACCAAACUCCUACGGGAGGCAGCAGUGAGGAAUAUUGGUCAAUGGGCGAGAGCCUGAACCAGCCAAGUAGCGUGAAGGAUGAAGGUCCUAUGGAUUGUAAACUUCUUUUAUAGUAGAAUAAAGUGACCCACGUGUGGGUUUUGUAUGUAUACUAUGAAUAAGGAUCGGCUAACUCCGUG